RNAcentral lists this ribosomal RNA (160 nucleotides) under uncultured bacterium. Its description in RNAcentral is "partial 16S ribosomal RNA". It matches the Rfam family "Bacterial small subunit ribosomal RNA", at positions 617 to 776 of the family's 1533-position model. The record is from RNAcentral.
GGAAUUGCGGUGUGAACUGGUAGUCGAGAGUGAGUCAGAGGGGGGUGGAAUUCCACGUGUAGCAGUGAAAUGCGUAGAUAUGUGGAGGAACACCAAUGGCGAAGGCAGCCCCCUGGGAUAACACUGACGCUCAUGUACGAAAGCGUGGGUAGCAAACAGG